This 206-nucleotide non-coding RNA is filed under the name Eggerthia catenaformis. RNAcentral's name for it is "T-box sequence". It matches the Rfam family "T-box leader". From Rfam's summary of the family: Uncharged tRNA acts as the effector for transcription antitermination of genes in the T-box leader family. T-boxes are found upstream of many aminoacyl-tRNA synthetase genes and some amino acid biosynthetic genes usually in Gram-positive bacteria. The anticodon of a specific tRNA base pairs to a specifier sequence within the T-box motif, and the NCCA acceptor tail of the tRNA base pairs to a conserved bulge in the T-box antiterminator hairpin. Lineage: Bacteria; Bacillati; Bacillota; Erysipelotrichia; Erysipelotrichales; Coprobacillaceae. The record is from RNAcentral.
ACAAAGGCAAUGAAUAGAUGAGUAAUUCUAUGAUUCUUUUAAGAGAGUCUCUGGCUGGUGAGAAGAGAUAAGAUAAUAGAAUGAAUAAAGACUAGGAGCUGUAUUUUGGAUCGUAAGUGAUAAAAUAACGUAGAGCCGCGUUAAGGUUAAUGAGAUCAUAUGAAUGAUGAAUUAGGGUGGUACCACGAUUAGCUCUCGUCCCUUGG